GGACCCGCACAAGUAGUGGAGCAUGUGGUUUAAUUCGAAGAUACGCGCAGAACCUUACCAACACUUGACAUGUUCGUCGCGACUCUGAGAGAUUAGAGUUUUCGGUUCGGCCGGACGAAACACAGGUGCUGCAUGGCUGUCGUCAGCUCGUGUCGUGAGAUGUUGGGUUAAGUCCCGCAACGAGCGCAACCCUCACUUUUAGUUGCCAUCAUUUAGUUGGGCACUCUGAAAGAACUGCCAGUGAUAAGCUGGAGGAAGGUGGGGAUGACGUCAAGUCUUCAUGGCCCUUACGUGUUGGGCUACACACGUGCUACAAUGGGUAUCUACAACAGGAAGCCAAGACGGCGACGUC
RNAcentral lists this ribosomal RNA (352 nucleotides) under uncultured bacterium. RNAcentral describes it as "bacterial SSU rRNA". It matches the Rfam family "Bacterial small subunit ribosomal RNA", at positions 917 to 1264 of the family's 1533-position model. The record is from RNAcentral.